Molecule: ribosomal RNA, 468 nt
Filed under: uncultured bacterium
Lineage: Bacteria
Description: partial 16S ribosomal RNA
Rfam family: Bacterial small subunit ribosomal RNA
Source: RNAcentral
GACGAACGCUGGCGGCGUGCUUAACACAUGCAAGUCGAACGGAAAGGCCCUGCUUUUGUGGGGUGCUCGAGUGGCGAACGGGUGAGUAACGCGUGAGUAACCUGCCCUUGACUUUGGGAUAACUUCAGGAAACUGGGGCUAAUACCGGAUAGGAGCUCCUGCUGCAUGGUGGGGGUUGGAAAGUCUCGGCGGUUGGGGAUGGACUCGCGGCUUAUCAGCUUGUUGGUGGGGUAGUGGCUUACCAAGGCUUUGACGGGUAGCCGGCCUGAGAGGGUGACCGGCCACAUUGGGACUGAGAUACGGCCCAGACUCCUACGGGAGGCAGCAGUGGGGAAUAUUGCACAAUGGGCGGAAGCCUGAUGCAGCAACGCCGCGUGCGGGAUGACGGCCUUCGGGUUGUAAACCGCUUUCGCCUGUGACGAAGCGUGAGUGACGGUAAUGGGUAAAGAAGCACCGGCUAACUACGUG